ACCGGACUGGGAAAUGUUCCGGUCAGCCUCAGAGAAUAAUAUCGACCUACACGCUGACUCGAUUGAGUGAAUUUAUAAGGAAGUGCGUUGAAAAUGUUGUACCCACUGUGACUAUUAAAGCCUACACUAACCAGAAAUCGUGGAUGGAUGGCGGCAUUCGCGCAAAACUGAAAGCGCAAACCACCGCAUUUAACUAUGGAAAGAGGUCUGGGAAUAAGGCUGAAUAUAAACAGUGUAGUUAUUCCCUCGGCAAGGCAAUCAAACAAGCGAAAUUCCGGUUCAGGGACAAAGUGGUGUCGCAAUUAAACGGCUCAGACACGAGACGCAUGUGGCAGGGUCUACAGGAAAUCACGGACUACAAAAAGAAUAACAGCCACGUCACGGACACCGACAUAAUGCUUCCAGGCAAACUAAACACCUUCUUUGCCCACUUUGAGGAUAAUACAGUGCCACUGUUGCGGCCCUCUAACAACAACUGUACCACCCCCCCUCUCCUUCUCCGUGGCCGACGUCUUCCGAGUGGCGCAGCGGUCUAAGGCACUGCAUUUCAGUGCAAGAGGCAUCACUACAGUCCCUGGUUCGAUUCCAGGCUGUAUCACAUCUGGCUGUGAUUGGGAGUCCCAUAGGGCGGGGCAUAAUUGGCCCAGCGACUUCUGGGUUUGGCCGGGGUAGGCUGUCAUUGUAAAUAAAAAUGUAUUCUUAGCUG
This 706-nucleotide long non-coding RNA is filed under the name Salmo salar (Atlantic salmon). Its description in RNAcentral is "lncRNA (ENSSSAG00000115432.1)". Lineage: Eukaryota; Metazoa; Chordata; Actinopteri; Salmoniformes; Salmonidae. The record is from RNAcentral.